AGUCCUUAAUUGAACAACUGCAUGAUGCUUUUUUCCCUGUGGCAUCAGCCUUCAUUGAAUGCAUGGGAUGGAAGGACUUACUGAAGAAGUGGCCUUAGGCAGGCAGCGCCAAAUAAUGCUGUAGCAUGAUCCAGCCAAGCCGGGUAUGUGGAAAAGGAGCCUUGCAUGAGUGAAACCUGCAGUUCAGGCCACUAGCUAAACAUCCCAUAGGAACAGCUCCCAGCGUGUGAGGAUCAGAAUGUAUGAGGAAAGCAACCUAAACCUGUGGAGGAAAGCCCUUUUGACUGGACCUUGGUGUGACACACACCUCAUCGCAGGCAUCUUGUCUGCCUCAAGCCACCAGAGCAAUAAGGUCAUCCAGCAUUGUCUCAGGGCUGAGUAAAAACCC
Molecule: long non-coding RNA, 388 nt
Organism: Falco peregrinus (peregrine falcon)
Lineage: Eukaryota; Metazoa; Chordata; Aves; Falconiformes; Falconidae
Exons: 3
Source: RefSeq, a predicted model, not a curated record